This 85-nucleotide transfer RNA is filed under the name Actinomycetes bacterium. Its description in RNAcentral is "tRNA-Ser". It matches the Rfam family "tRNA". Rfam says of the family: Transfer RNA (tRNA) molecules are approximately 80 nucleotides in length. RNAcentral also lists the same sequence under 2 other names. Lineage: Bacteria; Bacillati; Actinomycetota; Actinomycetes. The record is from RNAcentral.
GGCGAGGUGGCGGAGCGGCCGAUCGCAGCCGCCUUGAAAGCGGCCGUGGGGAAACUCACCGGGGGUUCAAAUCCCUCCCUCGCCG